CCCAUGGGUACAUGAAGGACUCAAAGUGGAAAAGGAAAACGGAAGUGCAAAGAUAAGGUUGGAGAAUUGUGGUGGCGUGCCAGAGUAAAUAACGAGCGACAGGCCAGUGAAAAUAGUUAGAGACAACUCCGAACGAAUAGCGACUUAAUAUCUCAUUGUUGCCAAGGAGUGCACAUGACUUGAGGACCGGUGGGGGAUUCUAGCCGUGUGCGGAUGUAGGGAGUGCACAUGAGCUGAUGACGACCCAGCUAUGUGCGAGUAGGGUGUGCCCAUGAUGAUGAUGAUGAUGAU
Molecule: small RNA, 291 nt
Filed under: Theobroma cacao (cacao)
Lineage: Eukaryota; Viridiplantae; Streptophyta; Magnoliopsida; Malvales; Malvaceae
Description: sRNA Tc02v2_g018090
Source: RNAcentral